Molecule: ribosomal RNA, 335 nt
Filed under: uncultured bacterium
Lineage: Bacteria
Description: bacterial SSU rRNA
Rfam family: Bacterial small subunit ribosomal RNA
Source: RNAcentral
GAUGAACGCUGGCGGCGUGCUUAACACAUGCAAGUCGAACGGGGGCGUGAUGUGCGAGAAGGAUAGUUUACUAGACUUCAAACUUUUCACGCCCUAGUGGCGGACGGGUGAGUAACGCGUGGGUAACCUGCCAUAUACAGGGGGAUAACACUUAGAAAUAGGUGCUAAUACCGCAUAAGCGCACAGGGGCGCAUGCCCCGGUGUGAAAAACUCCGGUGGUAUAUGAUGGACCCGCGUCUGAUUAGCCAGUUGGCAGGGUAACGGCCUACCAAAGCGACGAUCAGUAGCCGGCCUGAGAGGGUGAACGGCCACAUUGGGACUGAGACACGGCCCAA